This 1230-nucleotide ribosomal RNA is filed under the name metagenome. RNAcentral's name for it is "bacterial SSU rRNA". It matches the Rfam family "Bacterial small subunit ribosomal RNA", at positions 278 to 1498 of the family's 1533-position model. The record is from RNAcentral.
GAUGGGUAGCCGGCCUGAGAGGGUGACCGGCCACACUGGGACUGAGAUACGGCCCAGACUCCUACGGGAGGCAGCAGUCGAGAAGCUUCGGCAAUGGGCGAAAGCCUGACCGAGCGACGCCGCGUGAGCGAAGAAGGCCCUAUGGGUUGUAAAGCUCUGUCAGAUUGGGAAGAAAACCUUACGGUUAAUACCCGUGAGGCUUGACGGUACCUUCAGAGGAAGCACCGGCUAACUCCGUGCCAGCAGCCGCGGUAAUACGGAGGGUGCAAGCGUUGUUCGGAUUCACUGGGUAUAAAGGGUGCGCAGGCGGCCUGAUAAGUCAGGGGUGAAAUAUGACGGCUCAACCGUCAAACUGCCCCUGAAACUGCCAGGCUUGAGUCCGGGAGAGGUAGGUGGAAUUCCAGGUGUAGCGGUGAAAUGCGUAAAUAUCUGGAGGAACACCGGUGGCGAAGGCGGCCUACUGGCCCGGAACUGACGCUCAGGCACGAAAGCUAGGGGAGCGAACGGGAUUAGAUACCCCGGUAGUCCUAGCCGUAAACGAUGGGCACUAGGUGUUGGAGGAGUCUACCCCUUCAGUGCCGCAGCUAACGCAUUAAGUGCCCCACCUGGGGAGUACGAUCGCAAGGUUGAAACUCAAAGGAAUUGACGGGGGCCCGCACAAGCGGUGGAGCAUGUGGUUUAAUUCGAUGCAACGCGAAGAACCUUACCUGGACUUGACAUGCAGGGGACAGGUGUAGAAAUACACCCUUCUUCGGACCCUUGUACAGGUGCUGCAUGGCUGUCGUCAGCUCGUGUCGUGAAAUGUUGGGUUAAGUCCCGCAACGAGCGCAACCCCUGUUUUCAGUUGCCAUCAGGUUAUGCUGGGGACUCUGGAGAGACUGCCGGUGACAAACCGGAGGAAGGUGGGGACGACGUCAAGUCAUCAUGGCCCUUACGUCCAGGGCUACACACGUGCUACAAUGGCUGGUACAAAGGGCUGCAAUACUGCGAAGUGGAGCGAAUCCCAAAAAGCCAGCCUCAGUUCGGAUUGGAGUCUGCAACUCGACUCCAUGAAGUUGGAAUCGCUAGUAAUCGCGUAUCAGAACGACGCGGUGAAUACGUUCCCGGGCCUUGUACACACCGCCCGUCAAGUCAACCGAGUUGGCUGCACCCCAAGUCGCUGAGCUAACCCGUAAGGGAGGCAGGUGCCCAAGGUGUGGUUGAUAAGGGGGACUAAGUCGUAACAAGGUA